This 562-nucleotide ribosomal RNA is filed under the name uncultured bacterium. Its description in RNAcentral is "bacterial SSU rRNA". It matches the Rfam family "Bacterial small subunit ribosomal RNA", at positions 340 to 916 of the family's 1533-position model. The record is from RNAcentral.
CUCGGGAGGCAGCAGUAGGGAAUAUUGCGCAAUGGGGGCAACCCUGACGCAGCAAUGCCGCGUGAGUGAAGAAGGCCUUCGGGUCGUAAAGCUCUUUUAUGGGGGAAGAUGAUGACGGUACCCCAUGAAUAAGCACCGGCUAACUACGUGCCAGCAGCCGCGGUAAUACGUAGGGUGCGAGCGUUGUUCGGAAUUACUGGGCGUAAAGGGCGUGCAGGCGGAUUGGCAAGCCGGAGGUGAAAGCCCGGGGCUCAACCCCGGAGGGUCUUUCGGAACUGCCAGUCUUGAGAGGGUCAGGGGCCAGCGGAAUUCCUGGUGUAGAGGUGAAAUUCGUAGAGAUCAGGAGGAACACCGGCGGCGAAAGCGGCUGGCUGGGGCCACUCUGACGCUGAGGCGCGAAAGCGUGGGGAGCAAACAGGAUUAGAUACCCUGGUAGUCCACGCCGUAAACGAUGGGCACUAAGCGUCCGACGGGUUCGACCCUGUUGGGUGCUGCAGUUAACGCGUUAAGUGCCCCGCCUGGGGAGUACGGUCGCAAGACUAAAACUCAAAGGAAUUGACGG